RNAcentral lists this ribosomal RNA (640 nucleotides) under uncultured beta proteobacterium. Its description in RNAcentral is "bacterial SSU rRNA". It matches the Rfam family "Bacterial small subunit ribosomal RNA", at positions 36 to 672 of the family's 1533-position model. Lineage: Bacteria; Pseudomonadati; Pseudomonadota; Betaproteobacteria. The record is from RNAcentral.
CUGGCGGAUGCUUUACACAUGCAAGUCGAACGGUAGAGGGGGCAACCCCUUGAGAGUGGCGAACGGGUGAGUAAUAUAUCUGUGAACGUGCCCAGUUCGUGGGGGAUAACGUAGUGAAAAUUACGCUAAUACCGCAUACGAUCUAAGGAUGAAAGCGGGGGAUCGCAAGACCUCGCGCGACUGGAGCGGCCGAUAUCAGAUUAGGUAGUUGGUAGGGUAAAGGCCUACCAAGCCAACGAUCUGUAGCUGGUCUGAGAGGACGACCAGCCACACUGGAACUGAGACACGGUCCAGACUCCUACGGGAGGCAGCAGUGGGGAAUUUUGGACAAUGGGCGAAAGCCUGAUCCAGCCAUUCCGCGUGCAGGAUGAAGGCCCUCGGGUUGUAAACUGCUUUUGUACAGAACGAAAAGGUUUCUAUUAAUACUAGGAGCUCAUGACGGUACUGUAAGAAUAAGCACCGGCUAACUACGUGCCAGCAGCCGCGGUAAUACGUAGGGUGCAAGCGUUAAUCGGAAUUACUGGGCGUAAAGCGUGCGCAGGCGGUUAUAUAAGUCAGAUGUGAAAUCCCCGGGCUCAACCUGGGAACUGCAUUUGAGACUGUAUAGCUAGAGUACGGUUAGAGGGGGAUGGAAUUCCCC